Molecule: small RNA, 239 nt
Filed under: Vigna angularis var. angularis
Lineage: Eukaryota; Viridiplantae; Streptophyta; Magnoliopsida; Fabales; Fabaceae
Description: Non-protein coding transcript
Source: RNAcentral
AAAAACCUUGUGAUUCUGUUAUUAUUCCUGAUGGAACAACAUCUGCAUAUCAGUACCAAGAAAAUAUAAAGAAUUUUCUUGUGGCUGUGGAGGAAAUGGGGCUUCCUACCUUCGAAGUUUCUGAUUUGGAACAGGGAGGAAACUCUGAGAGGGUAGUGGAUUGUGUUCUAGAGCUAAAGUCUUAUGCCGAACGAAAAGUUGGAGGAAGUGCAUCUGGGAAAUAUAGUGGGGUUGCGAAU